GAUGAACGCUGGCGGUAUGCCUAACACAUGCAAGUCGUACGAGAGUUUUUAACUCUAGUGGCGGACGGGUGAGUAACACGUGAGAAUUUGCCUUUAGGAGGGGGAUAACAAAUGGAAACGUUUGCUAAUACCUUAUACUCCUUAUUAACUAAAGUUGGUAAGGGAAAGAUUUAUUGGUAAGAGAUUGGCCUGUAUUGUAUCAGUUAGUUGGUGGGGUAAUGGCCUACCAAGACUAUGACGCAUAACUGGUUUGAGAGGAUGAUCAGUCACACUGGAACUGAGACACGGUCCAGACUCCUACGGGAGGCAGCAGUGGGGAAUAUUGCACAAUGGACGAAAGUCUGAUGCAGCAACGCCGCGUGGAGGAUGGACACAUUUCGGUGCGUAAACUCCUUUUAUAUAAGAAGAUAAUGACGGUAUUAUAUGAAUAAGCACCGGCUAACUCCGUG
RNAcentral lists this ribosomal RNA (449 nucleotides) under uncultured bacterium. RNAcentral describes it as "bacterial SSU rRNA". It matches the Rfam family "Bacterial small subunit ribosomal RNA", at positions 28 to 507 of the family's 1533-position model. The record is from RNAcentral.